AGUGAACGCUGGCGGUAGGCCUAACACAUGCGAGUCGAACGGCAGCACAGUAAGAGCUUGCUCUUACGGGUGGCGAGUGGCGGACGGGUGAGGAAUACAUCGGAAUCUACUUUUUCGUGGGGGAUAACGUAGGGAAACUUACGCUAAUACCGCAUACGACCUACGGGUGAAAGCAGGGGAUCUUCGGACCUUGCGCGAUUGAAUGAGCCGAUGUCGGAUUAGCUAGUUGGCGGGGUAAAGGCCCACCAAGGCGACGAUCCGUAGCUGGUCUGAGAGGAUGAUCAGCCACACUUGAACUGAGGCACGGUUCAGACUCCUACGGGAGGGAGCAGUGGGGAAUAUUGGACAAUGGGCGCAAGCCUGAUCCAGCCAUUCCGCGUGGGUGAAGAAGGCCUUCGGGUUGGAAAGCCCUUUUGUUGGGGAAGAAAAGCAGCAGGUUAAUACCCCGCUGUUCUGACGGUACCCAAAGAAUAAGCACCGGCUAACUUCGUG
Molecule: ribosomal RNA, 492 nt
Filed under: uncultured bacterium
Lineage: Bacteria
Description: partial 16S ribosomal RNA
Rfam family: Bacterial small subunit ribosomal RNA
Source: RNAcentral